UUAGAAGCUUCCUUUCGAAGCAGAAGCAGUCCCUUUUUGGAACCAGAACUGCAUAAUGAAGGGCGCAGCUCUGCAGAACCCGCACUCCAAUCUUCCCUGGGGCUCUGGAGCUCACAAAGCACUUACUCUCCACCUACCGACACAGCCUCCCGAGAGGAAAUUUUUUGAGCCUGACUCCUCAGAAGCAGUCAAGGGCAGAGAAAGGGAUGGGCUGAAGUUACCGUCUGCGCAUCUGAAGUCACAUGGUCUCUCUUCAGAGGAAAGGCCUUUCAGCUGGGAUGAGGCAGUGAUUUGCAUUUUAGCAGACCUACCCAGCACACAGGGGAUAAAUGCAAACCGCCCAGGUAUUUGGUUCCCUGAUGUGACUGGUAUGGUAAUGAAAGUCCCCAGGGAAGAAUGUACUGCCAGAUUAAUUUGCCAAGAAGCACAUGCAGAUGGCAUCUCACCUGCGCACAGCUUCUCUCCAGAAGAGUGUAAUGAGUUCAGGGAACCAAGCUCAUGGCUUAGCUUGUCCCUUCCCAGUGUAACUCCUGGAAAGGGGUCAGACAGUUUGCCAGGGCGGCUGACCUGUGCAGUCAGGAAGCCAUACUACCAUGUGCUUUGAAAUCAAACCCUGCCCCCUGGCUGCAGGGCCUGCUCGUGUGACCCACCUCCUUGCCUUGCUGUCCGUGGGCUCUCAGUCACCUCACAGGUCCCAGCAAGGGCAGAGCCAUCAAGCCCAAGGCCAUUUCUUACUGCUCAGUGUUGACACAACAGCCUCAGAAGAAUCUGCCACUUCCUGUGCGGGGCAGCACACGGACAGCACGAGGACACUGCAAUUUUGAGCACAUACACUACCAAAUAACUCAUAAAUAUUAGGUCCCAGAAUAAGUUUGGUACUGUAAUAUUGCCAGUACACUCUCGCGCACGGCCCUCAGCAUCCGUCGCACCACUAACCACUCAUACCCCCACUCUGUCCUUCUACCCUCUUCUGAAAGCCAGAGAGGAGCUGCUCGCUUGGUCUGUCUGUGCAGUGAUGGAACAGAGCACAGCAGCCAUUUUGCUGGGUCACUGUGGGGGCUGUGAGCCCAAAGAAGGGUACAGGUUACAACGCAUGGCUUAAGGUUAGGGUUAGGAUGCAUAUGAGAGGAAGCAUCGUGUGGAUGGGGACCACAGUACUCCUUCCUCUGCAGCCUCUCCUCAUGAUGGCAUUCCCUAAGGCCAGGUCCUGUUUCCUCCCAGGAAAUGGGUGGGACAGAACAGAGACCAUCAGAUGAAGACCUUGAUCCCCUUGCUCCAAACCUUUAUUAAUACUACAGCAUGGUAUUUUCAAUAAAUUUUUGCCAUCAGUUUGGUGACAGUUCUAAAGACAUCAACUGCCAGCGUGAGGGCACUUGGACACAGUGAUCAGAUCAUCUUUUGGGACAGAUAGCAGAGUUCCCUCAUUGUGAUGGAACAGGCACGUUUCUUAACAUGUAAAAUAUAUCUGAAGUGAAGCGAGCAGAAGGCACUAUGUGAAUGUGAAAAAUGUGAAUAUGCUUUUUUUUUUUUUAUUGACUGAGCUAGUUCUUUGAGUUUCUGGAGUCCCAGGCACAAGCUUCCAUAUUCAAAGCUACUCCUUGUCUGUGGGAUGAGACAGCAAAUAAAAUACACACGAGGUGCCCUAAUUCUGCAUGGCCCAGGAGAGUUUUGAUGUUUGCUUUUCUGGCAGGAUGCACUUUCCCUUAUCCAAGUUACAGUAGCUAAUCAUUUAUGAAUGAUCACAGUGUUCUGCCAAAAUGCAUGCAAGUAAAAAUACAUCAUAACCUCUUUCCACUGCACUCUGGGGAUGCAUGUCAU
This 1818-nucleotide long non-coding RNA is filed under the name Gallus gallus (chicken). RNAcentral's name for it is "long non-coding RNA NONGGAT001044". Lineage: Eukaryota; Metazoa; Chordata; Aves; Galliformes; Phasianidae. The record is from RNAcentral.